This 2892-nucleotide ribosomal RNA is filed under the name Pseudomonas syringae pv. syringae. RNAcentral describes it as "bacterial LSU rRNA". It matches the Rfam family "Bacterial large subunit ribosomal RNA". Lineage: Bacteria; Pseudomonadati; Pseudomonadota; Gammaproteobacteria; Pseudomonadales; Pseudomonadaceae. The record is from RNAcentral.
UCAAGUGAAGAAGCGCAUACGGUGGAUGCCUUGGCAGUCAGAGGCGAUGAAAGACGUGGUAGCCUGCGAAAAGCUUCGGGGAGUCGGCAAACAGACUGUGAUCCGGAGAUGUCUGAAUGGGGGAACCCAGCCAUCAUAAGAUGGUUAUCUUGUACUGAAUACAUAGGUGCAAGAGGCGAACCAGGGGAACUGAAACAUCUAAGUACCCUGAGGAAAAGAAAUCAACCGAGAUUCCCUUAGUAGUGGCGAGCGAACGGGGACCAGCCCUUAAGUUGUAUUGAGAUUAGCGGAACGUUCUGGAAAGGACGGCCAUAGUGGGUGAUAGCCCUGUACGCGAAAAUCCCUUUGCAAUGAAAUCGAGUAGGACGGGGCACGAGAAACCUUGUCUGAAUAUGGGGGGACCAUCCUCCAAGGCUAAAUACUACUGACUGACCGAUAGUGAACCAGUACCGUGAGGGAAAGGCGAAAAGAACCGCGGAGAGCGGAGUGAAAUAGAUCCUGAAACCGUAUGCGUACAAGCAGUGGGAGCCCACUUUGUUGGGUGACUGCGUACCUUUUGUAUAAUGGGUCAGCGACUUAUUUUCAGUGGCGAGCUUAACCGAAUAGGGGAGGCGUAGCGAAAGCGAGUCUUAAUAGGGCGUCUAGUCGCUGGGAAUAGACCCGAAACCGGGCGAUCUAUCCAUGGGCAGGUUGAAGGUUGGGUAACACUAACUGGAGGACCGAACCGACUACCGUUGAAAAGUUAGCGGAUGACCUGUGGAUCGGAGUGAAAGGCUAAUCAAGCUCGGAGAUAGCUGGUUCUCCUCGAAAGCUAUUUAGGUAGCGCCUCAUGUAUCACUGUAGGGGGUAGAGCACUGUUUCGGCUAGGGGGUCAUCCCGACUUACCAAACCGAUGCAAACUCCGAAUACCUACAAGUGCCGAGCAUGGGAGACACACGGCGGGUGCUAACGUCCGUCGUGAAAAGGGAAACAACCCAGACCGUCAGCUAAGGUCCCAAAGUCAUGGUUAAGUGGGAAACGAUGUGGGAAGGCUUAGACAGCUAGGAGGUUGGCUUAGAAGCAGCCACCCUUUAAAGAAAGCGUAAUAGCUCACUAGUCGAGUCGGCCUGCGCGGAAGAUGUAACGGGGCUCAAACCAUGCACCGAAGCUACGGGUAUCAUCUUAGGAUGAUGCGGUAGAGGAGCGUUCUGUAAGCCUGUGAAGGUGAGUUGAGAAGCUUGCUGGAGGUAUCAGAAGUGCGAAUGCUGACAUGAGUAACGACAAUGGGUGUGAAAAACACCCACGCCGAAAGACCAAGGUUUCCUGCGCAACGUUAAUCGACGCAGGGUUAGUCGGUCCCUAAGGCGAGGCUGAAAAGCGUAGUCGAUGGAAAACAGGUUAAUAUUCCUGUACUUCUGGUUAUUGCGAUGGAGGGACGGAGAAGGCUAGGCCAGCCUGGCGUUGGUAGUCCAGGUUUAAGGUGGUAGGCUGAGAUCUUAGGUAAAUCCGGGAUCUUAAGGCCGAGAGCUGAUGACGAGUGUUCUUUUAGAACAUGAAGUGGUUGAUGCCAUGCUUCCAAGAAAAGCUUCUAAGCUUCAGGUAACCAGGAACCGUACCCCAAACCGACACAGGUGGUUGGGUAGAGAAUACCAAGGCGCUUGAGAGAACUCGGGUGAAGGAACUAGGCAAAAUGGCACCGUAACUUCGGGAGAAGGUGCGCCGGUGGAGGUGAAGCAUUUACUGCGUAAGCCCCUGCCGGUCGAAGAUACCAGGCCGCUGCGACUGUUUAUUAAAAACACAGCACUCUGCAAACACGAAAGUGGACGUAUAGGGUGUGACGCCUGCCCGGUGCCGGAAGGUUAAUUGAUGGGGUUAGCGCAAGCGAAGCUCUUGAUCGAAGCCCCGGUAAACGGCGGCCGUAACUAUAACGGUCCUAAGGUAGCGAAAUUCCUUGUCGGGUAAGUUCCGACCUGCACGAAUGGCGUAACGAUGGCGGCGCUGUCUCCACCCGAGACUCAGUGAAAUUGAAAUCGCUGUGAAGAUGCAGUGUAUCCGCGGCUAGACGGAAAGACCCCGUGAACCUUUACUAUAGCUUUGCACUGGACUUUGAAUUUGCUUGUGUAGGAUAGGUGGGAGGCUUUGAAGCGUGGACGCCAGUCUGCGUGGAGCCAACCUUGAAAUACCACCCUGGCAACUUUGAGGUUCUAACUCAGGUCCGUUAUCCGGAUCGAGGACAGUGUAUGGUGGGUAGUUUGACUGGGGCGGUCUCCUCCUAAAGAGUAACGGAGGAGUACGAAGGUGCGCUCAGACCGGUCGGAAAUCGGUCGUAGAGUAUAAAGGCAAAAGCGCGCUUGACUGCGAGACAGACACGUCGAGCAGGUACGAAAGUAGGUCUUAGUGAUCCGGUGGUUCUGUAUGGAAGGGCCAUCGCUCAACGGAUAAAAGGUACUCCGGGGAUAACAGGCUGAUACCGCCCAAGAGUUCAUAUCGACGGCGGUGUUUGGCACCUCGAUGUCGGCUCAUCACAUCCUGGGGCUGAAGCCGGUCCCAAGGGUAUGGCUGUUCGCCAUUUAAAGUGGUACGCGAGCUGGGUUUAGAACGUCGUGAGACAGUUCGGUCCCUAUCUGCCGUGGACGUUUGAGAUUUGAGAGGGGCUGCUCCUAGUACGAGAGGACCGGAGUGGACGAACCUCUGGUGUUCCGGUUGUCACGCCAGUGGCAUUGCCGGGUAGCUAUGUUCGGAAAAGAUAACCGCUGAAAGCAUCUAAGCGGGAAACUUGCCUCAAGAUGAGAUCUCACUGGAACCUUGAGUUCCCUGAAGGGCCGUCGAAGACUACGACGUUGAUAGGUUGGGUGUGUAAGCGCUGUGAGGCGUUGAGCUAACCAAUACUAAUUGCCCGUGAGGCUUGACCAU